UGGUACACGUUCGGUGGAGGAACCAGACUGGAUGUUGGAAGUGAUGUCCGUCCCACCCUGACGGUGCUGCCCCCCUCCAGCCAGGAGCUGCAGCAGGGGAAGGCCACGCUCACGUGUCUGGCCAACAAGGGCUUCCCCUCAGACUGGAGUCUGGCCUGGAAGGUGGACGGCAGCAGCAGCAGCAGCAGCAGCAGCAGCAGCUGGGAGCAGAGCAGGAGCCCCGGGGUGCUGCAGCAGGACGGCCACUACAGCUGGAGCAGCACCCUGAGGCUCACUGCAGACCAGUGGAGGAAGGUGGGCUCUGUGACCUGUGAGGCCACCCAGGGUUCCCAGUCUCCACUCUCAGAGACACUGAGGAGAGACCAGUGUUCCCAGUCCUGACCUGACUCACUGGGACUCUGCUACUGGUUUUACUCUGCUACUGCUCUCACUCUGAUCUCUGCAACUCUGUCUUUAACUCUCUCUGUCUCUUUAAAUGUUUCAGUAAUGAUGUUUCUUGCUUUUUGAUUUAAAUAUUUCAAAAAAAAUAAAGACGUGU
Molecule: non-coding RNA, 538 nt
Organism: Scomber scombrus (Atlantic mackerel)
Lineage: Eukaryota; Metazoa; Chordata; Actinopteri; Scombriformes; Scombridae
Source: the annotation of a RefSeq genome assembly